This 1408-nucleotide ribosomal RNA is filed under the name Halomonas sp. RNAcentral's name for it is "bacterial SSU rRNA". It matches the Rfam family "Bacterial small subunit ribosomal RNA". The record is from RNAcentral. Lineage: Bacteria; Pseudomonadati; Pseudomonadota; Gammaproteobacteria; Oceanospirillales; Halomonadaceae.
ACACAUGCAAGUCGAGCGGAACGAUGGAAGCUUGCUUCCAGGCGUCGAGCGGCGGACGGGUGAGUAAUGCAUAGGAAUCUGCCCGAUAGUGGGGGAUAACCUGGGGAAACUCAGGCUAAUACCGCAUACGUCCUACGGGAGAAAGCAGGGGAUCUUCGGACCUUGCGCUAUCGGAUGAGCCUAUGUCGGAUUAGCUAGUUGGUGAGGUAACGGCUCACCAAGGCCGCGAUCCGUAGCUGGUCUGAGAGGAUGAUCAGCCACAUCGGGACUGAGACACGGCCCGAACUCCUACGGGAGGCAGCAGUGGGGAAUAUUGGACAAUGGGCGAAAGCCUGAUCCAGCCAUGCCGCGUGUGUGAAGAAGGCUUUCGGGUUGUAAAGCACUUUCAGUGGGGAAGAAAUCCUCAGGGCCAAUACCCCUGAGGGAGGACAUCACCCACAGAAGAAGCACCGGCUAACUCCGUGCCAGCAGCCGCGGUAAUACGGAGGGUGCGAGCGUUAAUCGGAAUUACUGGGCGUAAAGCGCGCGUAGGCGGCGUGAUCAGCCGGUUGUGAAAGCCCCGGGCUCAACCUGGGAACGGCAUCCGGAACUGUCACGCUAGAGUGCAGGAGAGGAAGGUAGAAUUCCCGGUGUAGCGGUGAAAUGCGUAGAGAUCGGGAGGAAUACCAGUGGCGAAGGCGGCCUUCUGGACUGACACUGACGCUGAGGUGCGAAAGCAUGGGUAGCAAACAGGAUUAGAUACCCUGGUAGUCCAUGCCGUAAACGAUGUCGACUAGCCGUUGGGGUCCUUGUGACCUUUGUGGCGCAGUUAACGCGAUAAGUCGACCGCCUGGGGAGUACGGCCGCAAGGUUAAAACUCAAAUGAAUUGACGGGGGCCCGCACAAGCGGUGGAGCAUGUGGUUUAAUUCGAUGCAACGCGAAGAACCUUACCUACUCUUGACAUCGUGCGAACUUGGUAGAGAUACCUUGGUGCCUUCGGGAACGCACAGACAGGUGCUGCAUGGCCGUCGUCAGCUCGUGUUGUGAAAUGUUGGGUUAAGUCCCGUAACGAGCGCAACCCCUAUCCCUAUUUGCCAGCGAUUCGGUCGGGAACUCUAGGGAGACUGCCGGUGACAAACCGGAGGAAGGUGGGGAUGACGUCAGGUCAUCAUGGCCCUUACGAGUAGGGCUACACACGUGCUACAAUGGCCGGUACAAAGGGUUGCGAAGCCGCGAGGUGGUGCUAAUCCCGAAAAGCCGGUCUCAGUCCGGAUCGGAGUCUGCAACUCGACUCCGUGAAGUCGGAAUCGCUAGUAAUCGUGAAUCAGAAUGUCACGGUGAAUACGUUCCCGGGCCUUGUACACACCGCCCGUCACACCAUGGGAGUGGACUGCACCAGAAGUGGUUAGCUUAACCUUCGGGAGAGCG